UAAUGGAAGUAAAUCCAUCAAAAGGAUCUAUCCACGAGCACUGGUAUAAGAUUGAUCAAGUCCCAUAAGAAAUUGCAUCGGUCGUGGAGAUCACUCGCUUCUCUCUGAAGCCUGUGGUUGUCUCCUUCCUCCUCUCUCAUUUGAAAUUCCGGCAAGUUCCUCUCACUACUGUCACUUGUUUACUCCAUAGCUCUACAAUCUUGGUCCUUCACGUUUGCCUAUGUGUAUUCCUAUUAUACCAAAUUUACAAACUUUGUUCAAAACUUGGAUUCAGUUCCUCUUUCUAUUGAUUUCUUCUUUCAUUUUGUAUGGAUGUGGGUGCAGGUUGAUGAACUUGCAGUGGGUGCAAACUCAGUUGAUUGUGACUUUAAUCGGAUUGUUGCAAAGGUUUCUUGUAGUGAUUCAAGUAACUCAUUCGGGUGUAGCAUUCAAUCGACAUGCUUAGGAUGAUUUCUGAGCAUACUUGUCCAGGCAGAAGGUUGGUUGUCUAGCUGAGGCUGCAGAGUUGAGUCAUCUAGCCGAUGUGUCAAUAUGUCUAAUUUCGAUCGUUUACUGGAUCAUGGUGUCAAAAACAACUGUCAACUUUUCAUUUGGAUUACGUGGGUAUUGAGACAUGUCUCACUGAUGUGUAACUAUGUUCAAGGUUGGUGAUCUAGCAGUUGAGGAGGCUGCAAAGUUGAUUGAUUUAGCAGAUGUGCUAAUAUACUAUGAUGUUAAAAACAAGUGCCUAAAGAGAUUCCAGCAGCCAUAUCUCAUACCUUGUGGCAGUGAAGAGAUCAGUGGACAUGCUCAGGAUUAUGAUUGAGCAAAUUCUUGCCACUGGGACUGCAAGUGAACUUGUUGAAUACAUGGUGAAGUUUGUGUGCAACAAAGUACUUGAAGUACCCAUGGGAGGUCACAAAGAGUUUGAAGAAACAAGAUGAGCCAUGGAUGAAGUCACCAGGUUACUGGAGGAUGAUAACAUCACUGUGUUUGGGGUGCACGGAAGAGGAGGUGUUGGCAAGACAACCAUGGUGAAACAUGUCAGUGUUCAAGCUGAAAAGGAUGGGCUUUUUGCUUAUGCGAUUAUGGUUGUUGUAUCCCAAAGCCCUGAUUUGCAAAAAAUUCAAAGCACAUUGGCAGAUCUGCUGGGAUCGAAAUGGUGGAGGAGACAGAAGUUGGAUGCGCCAGAAGAUUGAAGAGAGGAUCGUGAUUGAAAAUGGGAUCUUUGUAAUCUUGGACGACAUCCCAAAUAUGUCAAGCAUUGAAAUUCCUGAUCAGAGUGGGCUUCAGUGAUGCAAUUCCUAAGUCCUACUCACCAAGGAUAAUGAAUGUCUGCCAUGCUAUGGGGUGCCAAGCACUGAUCCCUCUCAACAGACUACCAGAUGAAGAUUCUUGGAAUCUAUUCCUGAACAAUUCAGGGAAGUCUUUUCAUGAAUCUACCAAUUCCUAUGAUGAAGCGAGGGAGGUAGCUAGAGAAUGCGCUGGUCUCCCAAAUGCACUGAAAGAAGCUGCAAGGGCACUUGGACAUAAAUAGGCUGACGAAUGGAAGGAAGAAGAUGCAAAGGCCCUGGGAGAUAAUGACUUGGACGAAUGGAAUCUAGCAGCUCCACAACUAAAUGCAGCUCAACCUGUCAACCCUAAAGAUGAGAGAGACGCAUAUCACAAGAAUAAAUUUAAGCUAUGAUACCAUGAGAUCCCGAUGAUGCUAAGUUAUUCUUCGUGCUUGCUGCAUGUUCCGGGAAGAUUAUGAUAUAUGUUUGAGGACAAGCAUAAAUUGACAGAAAUAUAGAGAGAGUAAUAAUUCAGAGAGAAUGGAGAUUCAUGUGUGUUUAUUCAUCUCAUACAAGAGGGUAUUUAUAGGAAUACAUUACAAGUGUGAAAGCUCAAAGAUAAUCUCAAGCUUGGUAUCAACUUGAUUUACAGCUGCAGCUCAACAUGAUAGCUGUGAUGAUGAUAAUUGCCAUGCUUGUUGCCCUUUGGCAUAAAGCUUGUCACACAAGUCUCUAUACCUAUAUUAUACACUCAAGUACCUUAUCUAUACACUCAAGUGCCUAUUUAUACAUGAUAUAGACAUUUAUACUAUGACUCAUAUAUACUACAAUAUGAUUCAUGUAUACU
This is a long non-coding RNA of Rosa rugosa (rugosa rose), 2100 nucleotides long. RefSeq lists it as uncharacterized. The transcript has 3 exons. NCBI's taxonomy places the organism in Eukaryota, Viridiplantae, Streptophyta, Magnoliopsida, Rosales, Rosaceae. The record is from RefSeq and is a predicted model, not a curated record.